CCUGGCGGCGCUUUAGCGCGGUGGUCCCACCUGACCCCAUGCCGAACUCAGAAGUGAAACGCCGUAGCGCCGAUGGUAGUGUGGGGUCUCCCCAUGUGAGAGUAGGGAACUGCCAGGC
This 118-nucleotide ribosomal RNA is filed under the name Enterobacter cancerogenus. Lineage: Bacteria; Pseudomonadati; Pseudomonadota; Gammaproteobacteria; Enterobacterales; Enterobacteriaceae. The record is from RNAcentral.